Molecule: long non-coding RNA, 536 nt
Organism: Manihot esculenta (cassava)
Lineage: Eukaryota; Viridiplantae; Streptophyta; Magnoliopsida; Malpighiales; Euphorbiaceae
Exons: 3
Source: RefSeq, a predicted model, not a curated record
CAUAUAAACUCAUGACAUGAUCCUAUGAUCAGAUGAUUCUUGGUUUUGUUUCCAUGCUUUGGUCUCUUCAAUCUGUCCUUUUUCUUUCUGGGUUGUCUUCGUUUUCUCUCAUGGAUAUCAAAGUUUGCAGAUUUUUGAGAUUUCCUCCAUAUGUAUGCAUUAAGUGGCAGAGAAUACAUACAUACAUACGAGAUGAUGUUGCUUAAAGAUUAUCCAAGGUGAUUGGCACAAAUCUCUGCAAAUCCUGGGCUGGCAAAACAAAAAGAAAGGACACAAAGGGUUAAUGGAAGCCAGAUGUGAAACCAGGCAAUUGUGAUAAUGACACUCACCUUCCGUGUCACAUGCAAACUCGAAGAUGGUGGGCCUCUGUUUUGCACCACCCAUGAUUUCUAUUCCUCUUCCUCAUCAUGAUGUGGGAACAUUUGUUUUCAUUGCAAAUCACAAGUGAUGAUCAGGUCAGUCUUUUUUUUUUCCCUAGUAUUCUCCAUGCAAAUUUAUAUAUUAUAUGCUAAAUCCGUUGUGUUUUAAAUCAUUUU